AGGGUUGUCGUACCUCGUGUUCAUCUUAAUCUCAAUAGUUGAACCCGAGGCGACGACUCUUU
This 62-nucleotide microRNA precursor is filed under the name Pristionchus pacificus. RNAcentral describes it as "microRNA ppc-mir-8233 precursor". The record is from miRBase by way of RNAcentral. Lineage: Eukaryota; Metazoa; Nematoda; Chromadorea; Rhabditida; Neodiplogasteridae.